This 133-nucleotide small nucleolar RNA is filed under the name Cervus hanglu yarkandensis (Yarkand deer). RNAcentral describes it as "Small nucleolar RNA SNORA70 (ENSCHYG00000020933.1)". It matches the Rfam family "Small nucleolar RNA SNORA70". From Rfam's summary of the family: snoRNA U70 seems to be exclusive to mammals and is a member of the H/ACA class of snoRNA which contain H (ANANNA) and ACA box motifs. H/ACA box snoRNAs are involved in the conversion of uridines to pseudouridines (5-ribosyluracil) a constituent of structural RNAs (transfer, ribosomal, small nuclear, and small nucleolar). The record is from Rfam by way of RNAcentral. Lineage: Eukaryota; Metazoa; Chordata; Mammalia; Artiodactyla; Cervidae.
AUGAACGAAGCAAGCCAACUGUGCCAUUUUCGCCCUGGGAUCCCAGUGUGCAGUUGCUGCAAAUAGCAGCCUCCUCAGUAGUGUAUACAGCCUGUUGCCUGCAUGAGUUGCCCUAAGGAACUUGAAUAUGGCC